AAAUUUGAAAAAAAAAAAGUUUUUAAAAAAAAAUUUCAAAAUAAAAAUUAUAAAAAUUUCGAAUCUGAAAACAUAUAAUCUGAAACUAUAAAAUAAAUUUUUUUAUUUUUAUUUUUUUUUUUAUUUUAUUUUAUUUUAUUUAUUUUUAUUUAUUUAUUUAAUUUCAAACCAAGGGUAUUAGUGAUAUUUUACCCUUUAAUGAAUGUCA
Molecule: long non-coding RNA, 208 nt
Filed under: Brassica rapa (field mustard)
Lineage: Eukaryota; Viridiplantae; Streptophyta; Magnoliopsida; Brassicales; Brassicaceae
Description: long non-coding RNA (BRAP_LNC004501)
Source: RNAcentral